This 468-nucleotide ribosomal RNA is filed under the name uncultured bacterium. RNAcentral describes it as "partial 16S ribosomal RNA". It matches the Rfam family "Bacterial small subunit ribosomal RNA", at positions 28 to 507 of the family's 1533-position model. The record is from RNAcentral.
GACGAACGCUGGCGGCGUGCUUAACACAUGCAAGUCGAACGGAAAGGCCCUGCUUUUGUGGGGUGCUCGAGUGGCGAACGGGUGAGUAACACGUGAGUAACCUGCCCUUGACUUUGGGAUAACUUCAGGAAACUGGGGCUAAUACCGGAUAGGAGCUCCUGCUGCAUGGUGGGGGUUGGAAAGUUUCGGCGGUUGGGGAUGGACUCGCGGCUUAUCAGCUUGUUGGUGGGGUAGUGGCUUACCAAGGCUUUGAGGGGUAGCCGGCCUGAGCGGGUGACCGGCCACAUUGGGACUGCGAUACGGCCCAGACUCCUACGGGAGGCAGCAGUGGGGAAUAUUGCACAAUAGGCGGAAGCCUGAUGCAGCAACGCCGCGUGCGGGAUGACGGCCUUCGGGUUGUAAACCGCUUUCGCCUGUGACGAAGCGUGAGUGACGGUAAUGGGUAAAGAAGCACCGGCUAACUACGUG